Molecule: non-coding RNA, 24 nt
Filed under: Callithrix jacchus (white-tufted-ear marmoset)
Lineage: Eukaryota; Metazoa; Chordata; Mammalia; Primates; Cebidae
Also listed under: 4 other names
Source: RNAcentral
UUCAAGUAAUUCAGGAUAGGUUGU